Molecule: non-coding RNA, 27 nt
Filed under: Rattus norvegicus (Norway rat)
Lineage: Eukaryota; Metazoa; Chordata; Mammalia; Rodentia; Muridae
Source: RNAcentral
UGUUGAAAAUAUUUAUGUGAUCUAAGU